CUUUAAAUGUCUCUUCUAACUGAAAUGAUUCUGUGAUUCUACACUGGGAUUCAACUCUGUGCUCAUUUGUCAGAAAGAAGUGGAAAUGUUUUCAGGGAAAGAGAAGAAAAGGGAAGAAUGUUGGAAGACUUGCACUUCAAGGGGACAGUUUACACCUUGUGAUUAUAUACGCCAGAGAAAUACAACAUGUAAUGCUUCAUGAAAAAGAAGACAAGGUUAACUGUGAUGCAAUUGAAGAUGCUGAUAUGCAACACAUCAAGCCUGGUUGCUGGCACGCCUAUCAUCUUCAGGGAACGAGAUCCAGCAACAGAAUUCCAAGCACUGGAAGGGGUUGCUACAGAGCUGGGGCUGGGGAGAGGAAACUGCCUGCUGGAGUGCUUUGUGUCCCUGUGAAGGUACAUUACACAGCAAAUAAUAAAGAACAUUUUAAUAUCAGCUGGCUCAUACUUAGCUUCAUGGGGCAGCCAUCUCAAAGGUAGUUUGUAGUUAUUAUUUUAUGGAAUAAAUUUAGCAUCUUUGUGAGAAAUCUAGGGGUG
This 536-nucleotide long non-coding RNA is filed under the name Numida meleagris (helmeted guineafowl). RNAcentral's name for it is "lncRNA (ENSNMEG00000005317.1)". Lineage: Eukaryota; Metazoa; Chordata; Aves; Galliformes; Numididae. The record is from RNAcentral.